Long non-coding RNA from Bufo gargarizans (Asiatic toad), 251 nucleotides. RefSeq lists it as uncharacterized. The record is from RefSeq and is a predicted model, not a curated record. The transcript is spliced from 3 exons. NCBI's taxonomy places the organism in Eukaryota, Metazoa, Chordata, Amphibia, Anura, Bufonidae.
GUAAGCACAGAACAAGCACACGGCUGCUCUACAGGACGAGGUUCUUACAAUAUAGAAUUGUCUCAGUUGAUAUUUUCCGUAUAAGAGAAUUUUCCUGACUGACCCAUCAAGGAUGGAUAGGGACAGAGACAAGAUGGCAGAGAGGAUAUUUCAUCUCACCCUAGAGAUACUCUUCCAACUUACUGGAGAGGAUUACACAGUAGGUGAAGAAGACCUCUAGUGAGCGCUUUCAGGGUCCUGAGUCUGAAGGA